This 818-nucleotide ribosomal RNA is filed under the name Inocybe viraktha. RNAcentral's name for it is "LSU rRNA". It matches the Rfam family "Eukaryotic large subunit ribosomal RNA", at positions 97 to 904 of the family's 3401-position model. The record is from RNAcentral. Lineage: Eukaryota; Fungi; Basidiomycota; Agaricomycetes; Agaricales; Inocybaceae.
AGCGGGAAAAGCUCAAAUUUAAAAUCUGGCAGUUGUUGACUGUCCGAGUUGUAGUCUAGAGAAGUGUUACCUGUGCUGGACCAUGUACAAGUCUUCUGGAAUGAAGUAUCAUAGAGGGUGAGAAUCCCGUCUUUGACAUGGACUACCAGUGCAUUAUGGUGUGCUCUCAAAGAGUCGAGUUGUUUGGGAAUGCAGCUCAAAAUGGGUGGUAAAUGCCAUCUAAAGCUAAAUAUUGGCGAGAGACCGAUAGCGAACAAGUACCGUGAGGGAAAGAUGAAAAGAACUUUGGAAAGAGAGUUAAACAGUACGUGAAAUUGCUGAAAGGGAAACGCUUGAAGUCAGUCGCGUUGGCUAGAAAUCAGCCUUGCUCUUGCUUGGUUUACUUUCUGGUUGACGGGUCAGCAUCAAUUUUGACCAUUGGAUAAAGUCAUUGGGAAUGUGGCAUCUUUGGAUGUGUUAUAGCCCAUUGUUGCAUACAGUGGUUGGGAUUGAGGAACUCAGCACGCCGCAAGGCCAGGUUUUUAACCAUGUUCGUGCUUAGGAUGCUGGCAUAAUGGCUUUAAUCGACCCGUCUUGAAACACGGACCAAGGAGUCUAACAUGCCUGCAAGUGUUUGGGUGGAAAACCCAUGCGCGCAAUGAAAGUGAAAGUUGAGAUCCCUUCAAGGGGAGCAUUGACGCCCAGACCAGACCUUUUGUGACGGAUCUGCGGUAGAGCAUGUAUGUUGGGACCCGAAAGAUGGUGAACUAUGCCUGAAUAGGGUGAAGCCAGAGGAACUCUGGUGGAGGCUCGUAGCGAUUCUGACGUGCAAUCGAUCG